UGGGGAAUUUUGGACAAUGGGCGAAAGCCUGAUCCAGCAAUGCCGCGUGUGUGAAGAAGGCCUUCGGGUUGUAAAGCACUUUUGUCCGGAAAGAAAUCCUUGGCUCUAAUACAGUCGGGGGAUGACGGUACCGGAAGAAUAAGCACCGGCUAACUACGUGCCAGCAGCCGCGGUAAUACGUAGGGUGCAAGCGUUAAUCGGAAUUACUGGGCGUAAAGCGUGCGCAGGCGGUUUGCUAAGACCGAUGUGAAAUCCCCGGGCUCAACCUGGGAACUGCAUUGGUGACUGGGCAGGCUAGAGUAUGGCAGAGGGGGGUAGAAUUCCACGUGUGAGCAGUGAAAUGCGUAGAGAUGUGGAGGAAUACUGAUGGCGAA
Molecule: ribosomal RNA, 374 nt
Filed under: uncultured bacterium
Lineage: Bacteria
Description: partial 16S ribosomal RNA
Rfam family: Bacterial small subunit ribosomal RNA
Source: RNAcentral